Chinchilla lanigera (long-tailed chinchilla) is the source of this 2643-nucleotide long non-coding RNA. RefSeq lists it as uncharacterized. The record is from RefSeq and is a predicted model, not a curated record. NCBI's taxonomy places the organism in Eukaryota, Metazoa, Chordata, Mammalia, Rodentia, Chinchillidae. The transcript has 2 exons.
GCAUCUGUUAAUGGACAUAUAGGAAGACACAGAGAAAUAGUUCUGUGGCAAAUGGGAUGGGAUCAGGAGGCCAAGAAUGGGAAGAAGGGGAUGUGAAAUGAUUUGAUGUCAUAUACCAACUAACCACAAAGAAUGCUAUCUUUAUAUGUCACAAACAUGAACUAAAUAAUGAUAAUAAUAUUAAUAAUCAUAAUGAUGAAAUGGGGUAAGGAAAUCUAGAGCUGCUGGGGGAGUGGUGGAUGAGAAGGGAAGAGAUAUGAGAAGAAUCAAAAUGUUAAAUACAUAUGCCUGCUCCCUAAGAUGAAUGGGAUCAUGUACUUCAAGCAUGUCUUAGUUAAAAAGCUUAAUAUUUAAAUACUGACAUAUUUAGAGAUAUUUCAUACUUUAUUGUGCUUCUUAAAGAUUUAUUGGCAGAUAUGUUGAAAAAUAUGUAAAGAUGCCUUUGGGGCUGGGAACCAACCAGCAUGUUGCAGGAUUCUUUAAUUUUGAACUCCACAUGAACAUUUAUCUUUGUCGUAGGCUCCAACCAAAUGUAUUGACACUGCCUAAUGUAAGUAGCAAUCCAUUGCAUGCACUUUCAUCAGUUAGCCAUGGCAAUGAUUAUGUGAUUUUGUGAGGGAGAGGAAGUAGGAAUACACAUGCAUCAAGACCUGUACAUCUAUCAAGUUGCAUUAGCAAAGGAAAACGAACAUUUUUGCUGUCUGGAUCCUGCCAUGGCUGUUGGUAUACCAUACCGCUUGCCAAAACAUAUUCAUAGACCUUGUUUUAGUGCAUUGUAGCUGACUAUUCCAAAAUUCCUUAGGUUUUUUCACUUUAUGAAAUAAUUAUUUCUUACAGUUGUGAAACCUAGAAAAUCCAGCAUCAAGGCACUGGCAACUGAAAUAUCUAAUGUGAUAUUGUUUACAUAUGCUGACUUCUACCUCAGUUCUCCCAAGGCAAAGAAGUGAACAAGAUGUCUUUGGCCUCUACUUUAGAUGCUUUAUUAUUAUUCAGGUUUCUUAACUAAUGACACAAAUAAUUUUCAGACUGCACUUCCACAUACCAUCACCUUUGGAAUGAGGUUUUAAAACAUGUAUUUUGAGGUACCUAGACAUUCAGAACACAGAAACCAUUAUAAGGUUAUAUUGUGUGUUGAGUAGUGGAUUGCAUGAUGUUUUAUGUGUCGUCCAGCAGACAUGCCAAUAAAAAAUACACACUUAGAAGUAUUUUGAGGACAAAUUUAAGCAGUCUGUUUCAAAUAAAUUCAGAAGAUACAAUGCGAUUGUAAAUGUCAUGAACUGAAUUAGGCACAAAAUGUUACUAAAGGAAAGACAAGUUUGAUCACCACUUAUUUUGAGAUCCUCAAACUGAAUAUUAAAAGAAAAUGACAGAAAGAUUUUUACCAGGCUCAUAGCCCAUGUUAUCAAUUCCUGCUGCUUCCCAAGAAGAUUAAGCUCUUACAAACAUAGCUAAAAAUUCUUACAGAGGACAGAAAAAGAAUGUUGAAGAUGCACUAUCUGAGGUCAUCAGAGGAUCAACAUAGAAUCUGCAAUGUGAUGGGGAAUUUCAAUUUCACAAAAACAGGAAAUUCCAAGAGUUUGGCCCACAAAUGCAGUGUUUCUCUUCUACACCAUAAAUGAAGGACAGGUAAGCAUGUGUGAGAUUAAAAAGUAACGGAAAGCUAUCCUGAUGCUAUUUAUAUGUCAUUCUCAUGUUGAUAAUGUCAUCGUACUCAUCAGAGAAAAGCACUCAUAUGCUCAUCAGAUUUUAGAGGACCCUUAGCUCAGUUGUUAUCAUUACAUAUUCAGUUUGCAACAGGAAUUUUAGGGAACAUACUAAAUGUCACAAAGGGUUACUGAUUCGAAAUCUCAGACUUGAGACAUUUGCAAACCCACAUUACAAGUAUGUCUAUAGUUAAUUUUGAAUUUCUACAUUAGUAUAGACUGAAACCUCAGUUGUUGUCAGUACCCAUUUAUUGUUUUUUUUCUCAGUCGAUUUCAUGAUAGUGUGAUCCAAUGAGAUUCAAUUCUUUGGUAUACUUUUUUAUUUACUUAAAAUAACUUUGUUGUAUCACACAAACAUAUCAAACAUCCAAAGCUAUAAUGACAUGGUUGAAUGAAAAGAAACAAUAUGUCUAGGAAUCCUCAAAAGGUUUGUACAAUGAGUGACUCAGCAGAGCUUUUAAUAGAUGAUGUGCACCUACAUGGGAAGUGACUGCAAUGCAAUAUGUGCUUUGAUUACUAAGGCAUCUUUAUGAAGGCCUUGAUGGAUGUAAGUGCUCUUUGUAUAAGAAUAUUAUAGGAAGAGCAAUAUCAUGGAGAACAUAAUUGCAGAGAAAAUGUGUGGAUCCAAUUCUAUGCACAUUUAAUGUAAACCUCAGUACACUUUUAACUGAAGUAUUUGGGUGUAAUUCUACUCUCUUCUGCCCUCAUUUUGUCUUUCUCUGACCCAUGUGCAAUGACUCAUGAAUUGUUCUUCUCUCAUCUGAUCAUUACCUCUAUCUCUAUUUGUUCUGCAAUGGAGAAUCUCUUGUGAGUUUAUCUCAUCAUAUCCAAAAUGUACUUAUGCUAUUUUGGAUCCUAUUAUGAGAUGCCUUUGUCUAUGCCCCUCUGCUGUUUGAAUUGAAAUAUUACAAAAUAAAGGAAAUGUUCUGGCUUAUCUCUA